UACGUAGGGGGCAAGCGUUGUCCGGAAUCAUUGGGCGUAAAGAGCGCGUAGGCGGCCCAGUAAGUCCGCUCUGAAAGUCAGGGGCUCAACCCCUGAAUGCGGGUGGAUACUGCUGGGCUAGAGUCCGGAAGAGGCGAGUGGAAUUCCUGGUGUAGCGGUGAAAUGCGCAGAUAUCAGGAGGAACACCGGUGGCGAAGGCGGUUCUCUGGGCCUUACCUGACGCUGAGGAGCGAAAGUGUGGGGAGCGAACAGG
RNAcentral lists this ribosomal RNA (253 nucleotides) under uncultured bacterium. RNAcentral describes it as "partial 16S ribosomal RNA". It matches the Rfam family "Bacterial small subunit ribosomal RNA", at positions 524 to 776 of the family's 1533-position model. The record is from RNAcentral.